Molecule: ribosomal RNA, 465 nt
Filed under: Vreelandella stevensii
Lineage: Bacteria; Pseudomonadati; Pseudomonadota; Gammaproteobacteria; Oceanospirillales; Halomonadaceae
Description: partial 16S ribosomal RNA
Rfam family: Bacterial small subunit ribosomal RNA
Source: RNAcentral
CCUACGGGUGGCAGCAGUGGGGAAUAUUGGACAAUGGGGGCAACCAUGAUCCAGCCAUGCCGCGUGUGUGAAGAAGGCCCUCGGGUUGUAAAGCACUUUCAGUGAGGAAGAACGCCUGGUGGUUAAUACCCAUCAGGAAAGACAUCACUCACAGAAGAAGCACCGGCUAACUCCGUGCCAGCAGCCGCGGUAAUACGGAGGGUGCGAGCGUUAAUCGGAAUUACUGGGCGUAAAGCGCGCGUAGGUGGCUUGAUAAGCCGGUUGUGAAAGCCCCGGGCUCAACCUGGGAACGGCAUCCGGAACUGUCAAGCUAGAGUGCAGGAGAGGAAGGUAGAAUUCCCGGUGUAGCGGUGAAAUGCGUAGAGAUCGGGAGGAAUACCAGUGGCGAAGGCGGCCUUCUGGACUGACACUGACACUGAGGUGCGAAAGCGUGGGUAGCAAACAGGAUUAGAUACCCUUGUAGUC